RNAcentral lists this ribosomal RNA (503 nucleotides) under uncultured bacterium. RNAcentral's name for it is "partial 16S ribosomal RNA". It matches the Rfam family "Bacterial small subunit ribosomal RNA", at positions 30 to 523 of the family's 1533-position model. The record is from RNAcentral.
AUUGAACGCUGGCGGCAGGCUUAACACAUGCAAGUCGAGCGGGGUGAUGGUGCUUGCACUAUCACUUAGCGGCGGACGGGUGAGUAAUGCUUAGGAAUCUGCCUAUUAGUGGGGGACAACAUCUCGAAAGGGAUGCUAAUACCGCAUACGUCCUACGGGAGAAAGCAGGGGAUCACUUGUGACCUCGUGCUAAUAGAUGAGCCUAAGUCGGAUUAGCUAGUCGGUGGGGUAAAGGCCUACCAAGCAGACGAUCUGUAGCGGGUCUGAGAGGAUGAUCCGCCACACUGGGACUGCGACACGGCCCAGACUCCUACGGGAGGCAGCAGUGGGGAAUAUUGGACAAUGGGGGGAACCCUGAUCCAGCCAUGCCGCGUGUGUGAAGGAGGCCUUAUGGUUGUAAAGCACUUUAAGCGAGGAGAAGGCUUACCUAGUUAAUACCUGGGAUAAGUGGACGUUACUCGCAGAAUGAGCACCGGCUAACUCUGUGCCAGCCGCCGCAGUAA